GCUUGUCUCAAAGAUUAAGCCAUGCAUGUCUAAGUAUAAGCCUUUAUAUGGUGAGACUGCGAAUGGCUCAUUAAAUCAGAAACUGUUUAUUUGAUAGUGCCUACUACAUGGAUACCUGUAGUAAUUCUAGAGCUAAUACGUGCGUAAAUCCCGACUUCUGGAAGGGACGUAUUUAUUAGAUAAAAGGCCGACCGGGCUCUGCCCGACUCGCGGUGAAUCAUGAUAACUUCACGAAUCGCACGGCCUCGUGCCGGCGAUGUUUCAUUCAAAUUUCUGCCCUAUCAACUUUUGAUGGUAGGAUAGAGGCCUACCAUGGUGGUAACGGGUGACGGAGGAUUAGGGUUCGAUUCCGGAGAGGGAGCCUGAGAAACGGCUACCACAUCCAAGGAAGGCAGCAGG
This 399-nucleotide ribosomal RNA is filed under the name Chlorella sorokiniana. RNAcentral describes it as "partial small subunit ribosomal RNA". It matches the Rfam family "Eukaryotic small subunit ribosomal RNA", at positions 30 to 432 of the family's 1831-position model. The record is from RNAcentral. Lineage: Eukaryota; Viridiplantae; Chlorophyta; Trebouxiophyceae; Chlorellales; Chlorellaceae.